This 497-nucleotide ribosomal RNA is filed under the name uncultured bacterium. RNAcentral describes it as "partial 16S ribosomal RNA". It matches the Rfam family "Bacterial small subunit ribosomal RNA", at positions 28 to 507 of the family's 1533-position model. The record is from RNAcentral.
GAUGAACGCUGGCGGCGUGCCUAAUACAUGCAAGUCGAGCGAACAGACGAGGCGCUUGCUCCUCUGACGUUAGCGGCGGACGGGUGAGUAACACGUGGAUAACCUACCUAUAAGACUGGGAUAACUUCGGGAAACCGGAGCUAAUACCGUAUAAUAUAUUGAACCGCAUGGUUCAAUAGUGAAAGACGGUUUUGCUGUCACUUCUAGAUGGAUCCGCGCCGCAUUAGCUAGUUGGUAAGGUAACGGCUUACCAAGGCAACGAUGCGUAGCCGACCUGAGAGGGUGAUCGGCCACACUGGAGCUGAGACACGGACCAGACUCCUAAGGGAGGCAGCAGUAGGGAAUCUUCCGCAAUGGGCGAAAGUUUGACGGAGCAACGCCGAGUGAGUGAUGAAGGUCUUCGGAUCGUAAAACUCUGUUAUUAGGGAAGAACAAAUGUGUAAGUAACUAUGCACGUCUUGACGGUACCUAAUCAGAAAGCCACGGCUAACUACGUG